Molecule: ribosomal RNA, 232 nt
Filed under: uncultured eukaryote
Lineage: Eukaryota
Description: partial small subunit ribosomal RNA
Rfam family: Eukaryotic small subunit ribosomal RNA
Source: RNAcentral
AGCUCCAAUAGCGUAUAUUAAAGUUGUUGCAGUUAAAACGCUCGUGGUCGGAUUUCGGGGCGGUCUUGAUGCCGGUCUGCCGUUGGGUAUUCACUGAUGGUGCGAGCGUCCUUCCUUCCGGAGACGGUGCCUGCUCUUAACUGAGUGGGUAUCGGAGACGGAUCAUUUACUUUGAAAAAAUCAGAGUGUUUCAAGCAGGCAGCUCGCUUUGCAUGGAUUAGCAUGGGAUAAU